CGUCAACGGUUAACGCGGGACAGAACCCAGUGUGACCAGCGGGUCUCCGGCAAUCAUCAGUAGAACUAGCUAUUAUAGCCCAUUUAAUAGCUUGAAAAUGAACUCAUUAGUGGUCUUUUAUCAGUGGAAAAAAGUCUAUUAAAUCCGGAUGUGGGAAGCAGCCGCGCAGAAGCUCAUUUCCAUCCCGCCUGUGACCUGAAAAAAUCCGAGAGACGCGCUUCUCUGGGAGUGAGCGUCGGGCUGUGUGGGAGGAGAGCUCAGACCCCCAGGCCGCCCCAGCCCGCGUCCUUCCCGGGGCCGUCGGGGCUCCGCCCGGAACAGACAGGCUUUGUCCUUCCUUCUCGCCUCCCGCGUCAUCCAAGCGCAGCCCAACACCUGACGGGGGCGGCGAGAAGAAGGUGCCAGUACUCAAGCGCGACCCCGGGUUAUGCAGAGCAGGCACCAUCUGGCUGGGCAGUAGAGCUGAAAAUGGCCAUCACUCACCUAUCCGGAGCUCUUCCCACCUGAGUCUCGCCCAGCCCUGCAGGGACAGCCACCGAGGCGUCAGAGGCCCAGGAUCCUGCUGUUCCUGACCACAGCUGUCAAGACCCAGCUUCUGUCACGAGUUACCAGUUGGGCUACAGAGUAACAAAACUGUGCAUGCAAGCACUCAUGUCUUGUA
This is a long non-coding RNA of Callorhinus ursinus (northern fur seal), 661 nucleotides long. RefSeq lists it as uncharacterized. NCBI's taxonomy places the organism in Eukaryota, Metazoa, Chordata, Mammalia, Carnivora, Otariidae. The record is from RefSeq and is a predicted model, not a curated record.